UUUGCUCAUUUGAGCCAUAUAUUAUGAUUGUAUAUAUUAUUUGUGCGUUUUGGAUUUUGUUUGUUGUCUUAGGACCUUAAAAUACUUAAUAAUAACAAAAACCCUAAAAAGAUAUCUGGUGGACUGUUGAUCUUGAUCUGAGCCUUUUGGACUUAGGAUUAGGAAACACUCCCUAUGCAAAAAGGACUUGGCCAAUCCCAACAGUCUGAGACUGAGCUAUUGUGAACUGAGCCUUCAUCUGA
RNAcentral lists this long non-coding RNA (242 nucleotides) under Lathyrus oleraceus (garden pea). RNAcentral's name for it is "Pisum sativum (pea) long non-coding RNA (PSAT_LNC029737)". The record is from RNAcentral. Lineage: Eukaryota; Viridiplantae; Streptophyta; Magnoliopsida; Fabales; Fabaceae.